Molecule: long non-coding RNA, 810 nt
Filed under: Selaginella moellendorffii
Lineage: Eukaryota; Viridiplantae; Streptophyta; Lycopodiopsida; Selaginellales; Selaginellaceae
Description: long non-coding RNA (SMOE_LNC002054)
Source: RNAcentral
CAUACGUAACCAGCUCGGGUGAGUGUCCUUUGCUCAACAUCUCUUCGAAGAUCUGGUGGCCUUGUUCCCACUUGCAAGCUUUGAAGAGGCUGUGGACGAGAACGGUGUACGUGACUUUGUCGGGUAAGCAGCCGCUUUGUACCAUUUGUUCGAAGUAGGAGGCCGCCAAGUCUAACUUGUUGAUCUUGCACAGGUGUCCGAUGACGACGGUGUAUAGAAAAGCGUCGGGCUUCACUUUCAUGUCGAUCAUCUGGUGGAAGAUUUGAAGUGCUUUGUUGGUGAAAUUCAGUUCGCAAAGCUUGCGAAUGAGAGAGCCAAAGGUGACGAUGGUGGGAGUAAUUCCUGCGGCCUUCAUCUCCCCAAGAAGAUUUACUGCCUGUGGUAUUUGCUCAGCUUUGCAAAAACCUCUUAUCAAAGUCCCAUAGGUGAAGUCGUCGGGCCUGAAGAGCCUGACAAGCUCGUCUUUGAAGACUCUGUAUGCCUCCCGAUGGCAUCCGUCGUUAACAAAGACCUCCAGGAGGGAAUUGCAGGUGUAAGUGUUGUGCUGGAAGCCUGGACGGGCUUUAGCCCACUGGAAGAAGAGCAUUGCUGCCUGUGGAUUCCUGAGCUUGACGAGAACUCUGCCAACUACCACAGGGACGAGCCGUCUUGAGCCGUAGCACUCGUCCAGAGCUCGAGAUAGGAGAUGUGGGUCUACCGAGUUGGCCAGCAAAACCUUUAUGAGGGCUUCGGCAGCUGCUUGGGCUGCUCGCUCUCGUGCCUUGCGCUCUUGAGCUGCUGCUGCUCCGCCUCCUCCAGGAAGCCUCCAUU